GGCCUGGUGGUCUAGUAGUAUGAUUCCUUCUUAGGGAGAUGCCACCGCAUGGAGGAGGUCCCGGGUUCAAUUCCCGGCCAGGCCC
This 85-nucleotide transfer RNA is filed under the name Cristinia sonorae. RNAcentral describes it as "tRNA-Pro". It matches the Rfam family "tRNA". Rfam says of the family: Transfer RNA (tRNA) molecules are approximately 80 nucleotides in length. Their secondary structure includes four short double-helical elements and three loops (D, anti-codon, and T loops). Lineage: Eukaryota; Fungi; Basidiomycota; Agaricomycetes; Agaricales; Stephanosporaceae. The record is from RNAcentral.